RNAcentral lists this ribosomal RNA (1353 nucleotides) under Lactiplantibacillus plantarum. Its description in RNAcentral is "bacterial SSU rRNA". It matches the Rfam family "Bacterial small subunit ribosomal RNA", at positions 71 to 1400 of the family's 1533-position model. The record is from RNAcentral. Lineage: Bacteria; Bacillati; Bacillota; Bacilli; Lactobacillales; Lactobacillaceae.
GAUUGGUGCUUGCAUCAUGAUUUACAUUUGAGUGAGUGGCGAACUGGUGAGUAACACGUGGGAAACCUGCCCAGAAGCGGGGGAUAACACCUGGAAACAGAUGCUAAUACCGCAUAACAACUUGGACCGCAUGGUCCGAGUUUGAAAGAUGGCUUCGGCUAUCACUUUUGGAUGGUCCCGCGGCGUAUUAGCUAGAUGGUGGGGUAACGGCUCACCAUGGCAAUGAUACGUAGCCGACCUGAGAGGGUAAUCGGCCACAUUGGGACUGAGACACGGCCCAAACUCCUACGGGAGGCAGCAGUAGGGAAUCUUCCACAAUGGACGAAAGUCUGAUGGAGCAACGCCGCGUGAGUGAAGAAGGGUUUCGGCUCGUAAAACUCUGUUGUUAAAGAAGAACAUAUCUGAGAGUAACUGUUCAGGUAUUGACGGUAUUUAACCAGAAAGCCACGGCUAACUACGUGCCAGCAGCCGCGGUAAUACGUAGGUGGCAAGCGUUGUCCGGAUUUAUUGGGCGUAAAGCGAGCGCAGGCGGUUUUUUAAGUCUGAUGUGAAAGCCUUCGGCUCAACCGAAGAAGUGCAUCGGAAACUGGGAAACUUGAGUGCAGAAGAGGACAGUGGAACUCCAUGUGUAGCGGUGAAAUGCGUAGAUAUAUGGAAGAACACCAGUGGCGAAGGCGGCUGUCUGGUCUGUAACUGACGCUGAGGCUCGAAAGUAUGGGUAGCAAACAGGAUUAGAUACCCUGGUAGUCCAUACCGUAAACGAUGAAUGCUAAGUGUUGGAGGGUUUCCGCCCUUCAGUGCUGCAGCUAACGCAUUAAGCAUUCCGCCUGGGGAGUACGGCCGCAAGGCUGAAACUCAAAGGAAUUGACGGGGGCCCGCACAAGCGGUGGAGCAUGUGGUUUAAUUCGAAGCUACGCGAAGAACCUUACCAGGUCUUGACAUACUAUGCAAAUCUAAGAGAUUAGACGUUCCCUUCGGGGACAUGGAUACAGGUGGUGCAUGGUUGUCGUCAGCUCGUGUCGUGAGAUGUUGGGUUAAGUCCCGCAACGAGCGCAACCCUUAUUAUCAGUUGCCAGCAUUAAGUUGGGCACUCUGGUGAGACUGCCGGUGACAAACCGGAGGAAGGUGGGGAUGACGUCAAAUCAUCAUGCCCCUUAUGACCUGGGCUACACACGUGCUACAAUGGAUGGUACAACGAGUUGCGAACUCGCGAGAGUAAGCUAAUCUCUUAAAGCCAUUCUCAGUUCGGAUUGUAGGCUGCAACUCGCCUACAUGAAGUCGGAAUCGCUAGUAAUCGCGGAUCAGCAUGCCGCGGUGAAUACGUUCCCGGGCCUUGUACACACCGCCCGUCAC